This 292-nucleotide ribosomal RNA is filed under the name uncultured bacterium. RNAcentral describes it as "partial 16S ribosomal RNA". It matches the Rfam family "Bacterial small subunit ribosomal RNA", at positions 505 to 796 of the family's 1533-position model. The record is from RNAcentral.
GUGUCAGCCGCCGCGGUAAUACGAAGGGGGCUAGCGUUGCUCGGAAUCACUGGGCGUAAAGCGCACGUAGGCGGAUCAUUAAGUCGAGGGUGAAAUCCUGGAGCUCAACUCCAGAACUGCCUCCGAUACUGAAGAUCUAGAGUCCGGGAGAGGUGAGUGGAACUCCGAGUGUAGAGGUGAAAUUCGUAGAUAUUCGGAAGAACACCAGUGGCGAAGGCGGCUCACUGGCCCGGUACUAACGCUGAGGUGCGAAAGCGUGGGGAGCAAACAGGAUUAGAAACCCCCGUAGUCC